This 5045-nucleotide long non-coding RNA is filed under the name Brassica napus (rape). RNAcentral describes it as "long non-coding RNA (BNAP_LNC001399)". Lineage: Eukaryota; Viridiplantae; Streptophyta; Magnoliopsida; Brassicales; Brassicaceae. The record is from RNAcentral.
UUCAGCGCAGCAUUUGGCAAAGAUUGAAAAUUAACCAUUCCAAAACUUUUGUUUUUCUUUUUUUUUUCCGUCGAUAUUUCAUUUAUUUUAAAAGGCACAAAAGCCCAAAUUAUAAACAGAGUUCGAGUGAGAGAUUAAACCCAAUAUAUUUUAAGCCCAAUAUAAGCAUGUACAAAAGAUAGGAUAAGUUCCAAUUUAAGGCCAACCACGUGUCGAGAUUUUAGGGAAUGACGUCAUCCGGAUAGACUCGAAUUCUCUGGAACAUCACCGAAGAAACAUUUCCUGGUAAGCUUUCGACGGUGAUACCUACGGUGAGCUUCUCUUCCAGGGUCUCAACUCAAAAGAUGUUAGUACACCUUAUGUUAAUCGCCGGGUUGAUGAUAGGUCUAAAUCUGAAGCACCGGAAAAUAAGCUCGCAGAUGACUGAGGUCAAACACUCUUUGGCGCACCACCUAAUACGGUGAAGAGACAACUAUUUCUUCAUGUUCAAACACAAUUGAUCUGAAUCUCUUGAAUCUUCUGUUUAUUGAGAAACUCCACUUCAAACAAACUCAAUAGAGAAAGUGUAGAUUUACUCACAAUAAAAGAAGAACAAGCAAUACCGGAAAAAACAGAAAGAAGUAUAAAUCAACCCAGAAAAAUAACUUCCUAAUGGAAAUCAAAAAGCAAAGGUUAACACGCAGAAGGUGAGCAUAGAUGUAAAAUAAAACAAAAACAAAUAUAAACCGAAUACAUCAGAUUUUACAUCGGACUUAGCCGAAAAAGAUACCGAUCUCAAAAGAUCGGGACACCAGAAAACAAAAGAAAUAGAGGUGACCGACGGCUUUUGGCCGCCGCCGGCCACCCUACACGGCAAGCUUUACUGGAGAUUUUUUAGAGAGAUGAGAGAACUUAAUCCUAGAGAGAGAAAUUCUUUUUUACAAAGCAAACUUUUGUUUAACUGUGAUAAAAAAAAGCGGUUGAAGUGUACCAUCUCUAUUUUUUCUGUAUGAAGCAAUUCUUGAAUUUAAUUUCUAUAAAUUAUAGUAUAUGCAUUGACUAGAAUAACGUGUAUCAGCUUUUUAGCUCCUUUUAAACAUGAUGGUUAUGAUUUGCGAGCUAUACCCAAUGAAAAAAAAAGUCAGCUAAUACUUGCACUUUUGGAAUAAUAGUUAGGUUUCCACCGUCAAAUGCGCCAUAACCAAAAGGCUAGGCUUAUCUUAUAUAAAUAUAGUAAUAUCCAAUCUAAGUCAAAACCGAAGAUAAACAAAAUUGUGCCACGUUAAUCAAAAAAGAUAUUAUCUUUGGUAAGCUUUUGACCUUAGGUAAUUAAAUAAAACUAACUUUCCAUAUAUGUAUCUUUUGAUCUCACCCGCACAGUUGGAGACUUGGAGCCCAAUUUCCUUGCACUCUUGUCUAGGGGUGGGCAUUUUAUCCGAAAUCCGAAGUGGCAUCCGAACCCGAUCCGAAAAAUCCGAACCGAAAUCUGAUGAUAGGAGUUUCAAGGCUCCUAAUCAAAUGUUGUAGUAUAAAGGAUGUCAAACCAGUUCUAAGUGAUUCUAAAGCAAAGAGAAUGCAAGACCAUGCUUAAUCUAAGUGCUACCAGUUUUUGAGAUGUUUUUAAACUAGAUUACUACCUAAAAUGCAAUAAAGGACAAAGCUUUCUUUCUUAUAAGAAGGGAGAACUCAUGGGCUAUGGGAAUCGAUCUUGGGUGAUCAAGAUUCAACCUAAAGGUGUCAACUUUGAACCAAUCUAUAUCUACCUUAGACCUAGACACAAUCCUAAACAAACUCUAUCCCUAGAUGAAUGCUCAUUUACCUAGAUAACUCAAGCAUCAAAUCCCUUUGGUUGAAUGUUAUCUAGGUAAUCAUUAAUCACAAGUCUACUAGCCAUCUUAACACCUUUAACAACAAAUCCCUUUGGUAAAGGAUGUUAAAAGCUUAGGAGAGUUGGUUCAGGCAUUUCAUCAAACACCUUCCGGGUAUGAAAUGCCUAGAGCUCAACUUUAGAGAGGCCAACUCUAAAAUUGCAUUAAAAGCCCUCUACUAGCAAGGAAUAAGAUUGAUCUAUACCUAAACACCUUAGAUCUAGCUUAAUCACCCUUAAUAACACACAUGGUUGAACAUCUUCUGUAUACAUAAUAGCCAUUUUAGUGUUAAAAGAGCAUUUAAACGACGAGAGGAAAUACACCAAAAUAUUUGUUUCAUAUCUUAGUGGACAAAAUUAUAAACAAAAUAGCAUUGUACUAAGGACUAGUUAGAUAAUAAUACAUAAUAUUAGUAUUUGGUAGUAGUUGCAAGUGAUUUUAAGAAGAUAGACGUGGACCAAAAAUUAAACCGGGUCUCACUGGUUACCAUUCGGUAAAUAAGAAGAACGAGUAAAAAAAAUGUACGGGAAUAAAAUAGCAAGAAUGAAAAUGAACGGUUGUUUCUUAUCAAAUUUAACAAGGAAUAAUUUUGUUCUUCAAUUCUCUACAAAAAAAAAGAAUGAAAGGGAAUGAGAGGGAAUUAUUAUUACUUGUGAAUGGUGAUUUUUUUAGGAACGUUAGAGAAUGCAUUAUUCCUCGCUGUUCUCUGGUCACCGUUCAUACCCAAAAGUGUAUACUAAUAGGAAAUAAAUGGUUAUGUAUUCGUAGUGCUAAUACAAUUAAAACAAAUUCUUAACGCUGUUAUCUUUUUACUUUUGUCAUCUCAUUUUUUAUUACAAUUGAAAUAGACAAAUUGGCGGGAUAAAAAUACAUCCCCAUAAAUAAGAAUCAAUAAAAUUAUAUUUCAAAUUUAUCUUUGGAAAAUUGGACAGAAAGUUUUAAUUUUCUAAUUAUAAAAAAACUUUCUAAUAAAGCACGCACAAAAGUUGUCGGCUCUAGGCUGUUUCACUUUUCAGUUUUAAUCUGAAAUCAAAAUUUUAUUCAAAUGGUUUAAAGAAAAUAAUCAUAGAUUUCAACAGUCAGAUUUUCAUAUUCGGAUACUUUCCAGCUAUCAAAAAAAAAAAACUAGUCUCAGUUCUUUUUUAAAUUGAAUGGAACUCGAGUAAAUGUCCAUUUCACGUUUUGAAACGUUUCAGAAUCGGAGUUUCUUGAAACUCGUAGAAACACAUUCAAAACUCGUUUUUUUUUAAUUUCAUUUUAGAAUUUUAGAAAUUACAGAUUCUGUUUUGCAAAAGCAAAAAAAAAAACUCUUAUGUUAUUUUUAAUUUAAAACAGAUUUAUAAACCAUUUAUAAAUAUGGGGAUAUACUUUGCAAAGAGCAGAAGAUUUGGUAUUUGUGCACACUAAUCUUCUUCUUCCAUCUAGACGAAGUCUUGAAUACAAAGAUGGUUUUAAUCAUAUAUGAGAUGUUGGAGGUUUGAUUCAUUGUAUGAGAUUAAUAUUGGGAGACUUGAAUUUAUCUUUCUCUUGAUGAUAAAUUUGAUAAAUGGUUAAGUUUGCUGGAGCUAAUGAAAAUGAGGCUGAAGAUGAUGCUAUUGAUCUUUGGCUUGUCUUUAUGAUUUUUUAUCUUGAGUUAAGUUAAGUAAUAUAUGAGUAUUGGAUUUGUGUUAUUUUGAAUUUUUAUAUGAUUUUCGAUAUUUUAUUUUUAUUUAUUUUAUUUCUGUAUACUUAAACACUAUCAAUGGUUAUUUGUUGAUUUGUAUUCUUAGAUGCAUUAAAUAGAAGAAAACAAUUGUACUUAUAUGUUAAUCAAUCAUAUAUAUAUAUAUAUAUAUAUAUAUAAACGUUCCAAAAUGUUUUCAUUCCUAUUUUUUGUUAAUAAUCACGUUUCUACGUUUCAAAAAAACAUAUAGCCGUUUCCGAUUCCUUCCAACCUAGGAUCUUUCUCAACCCCUCGGCCCUCGGUUUCUUAUCUACAGCUUGUUUUUACUUAUUUUAUUGUUACUACGACUUUCAAGAACAUGUAUGUGCGCAACAUGGUUUUUUAGCCACAUUAUCGGUACACUUUUAUCGGGAGACCCUCGAAAGAGUGAUAUAGUUGAAGAGAUGUGGUCAAGUUAUUUUGGGUGAUAUGUUGAAUUUUGAGUCGCUAAACAAACAUAAAAUUAUCUUUUUUGAACUAAUCGCAUAUACGCCAAUGCCAUAAAAAUAUUGUUCAGCGCAGCAUUUGGCAAAGAUUGAAAAUUAACCAUUCCAAAACUUUUGUUUUUCUUUUUUUUUUCCGUCGAUAUUUCAUUUAUUUUAAAAGGCACAAAAGCCCAAAUUAUAAACAGAGUUCGAGUGAGAGAUUAAACCCAAUAUAUUUUAAGCCCAAUAUAAGCAUGUACAAAAGAUAGGAUAAGUUCCAAUUUAAGGCCAACCACGUGUCGAGAUUUUAGGGAAUGACGUCAUCCGGAUAGACUCGAAUUCUCUGGAACAUCACCGAAGAAACAUUUCCUGGUAAGCUUUCGACGGUGAUACCUACGGUGAGCUUCUCUUCCAGGGUCUCAACUCAAAAGAUGUUAGUACACCUUAUGUUAAUCGCCGGGUUGAUGAUAGGUCUAAAUCUGAAGCACCGGAAAAUAAGCUCGCAGAUGACUGAGGUCAAACACUCUUUGGCGCACCACCUAAUACGGUGAAGAGACAACUAUUUCUUCAUGUUCAAACACAAUUGAUCUGAAUCUCUUGAAUCUUCUGUUUAUUGAGAAACUCCACUUCAAACAAACUCAAUAGAGAAAGUGUAGAUUUACUCACAAUAAAAGAAGAACAAGCAAUACCGGAAAAAACAGAAAGAAGUAUAAAUCAACCCAGAAAAAUAACUUCCUAAUGGAAAUCAAAAAGCAAAGGUUAACACGCAGAAGGUGAGCAUAGAUGUAAAAUAAAACAAAAACAAAUAUAAACCGAAUACAUCAGAUUUUACAUCGGACUUAGCCGAAAAAGAUACCGAUCUCAAAAGAUCGGGACACCAGAAAACAAAAGAAAUAGAGGUGACCGACGGCUUUUGGCCGCCGCCGGCCACCCUACACGGCAAGCUUUACUGGAGAUUUUUUAGAGAGAUGAGAGAACUUAAUCCUAGAGAGAGAAAUUCUUUUUUACAAAGCAAACUUUUGUUUAACUGUGAUAAAAAAAAGCGGUUGAAGUGUACCAUCUCUAUUUUUU